UGCAAGUCGAGCGAGUCUCUUCGGAGGCUAGCGGCGGACGGGUGAGUAACACGUAGGCAACCUGCCUCUCAGACUGGGAUAACAUAGGGAAACUUAUGCUAAUACCGGAUAGGUUUUUGGAUCGCAUGAUCCGAAAAGAAAAGGCGGCUUUAAGCUGUCACUGGGAGAUGGGCCUGCGGCGCAUUAGCUAGUUGGUGGGGUAAUGGCCUACCAAGGCAACAAUGCGUAGCCAACCUGAGAGGGUGACCGGCCACACUGGGACUGAGACACGGCCCAGACUCCUACGGGAGGCAGCAGUAGGGAAUUUUCCACAAUGGACAAAAGUCUGAUGGAGCAACGCCCCGUGAACAAUGAAGGUCUUCGGAUUGUAAAGUUCUGUUGUUAGGGACAAACAAGUACCGUUCGAAUAGGGCGGUACCUUGACGGUACCUGACAAGAAAGCCACGGCUAACUACUUGCCACCAGCCGCGGUAAUACGUAGGUGGCAAGCGUUGUCCGGAUUUAUUGGGCGUAAAGCGCGCGCAGGCGGCUAUGUAAGUCUGGUGUUAAAGCCCGAAGCUCAACUCCGGUUCGCAUCGAAAACUGUGUAGCUGGAUUGCAGAAAAGGAAAGCGGUAUUCCACUUGUACCGUUGAAAUGCUUAAAGAUGUGGAGGAACACCAUUGGCGAAGGCGGCUUUCUGGUCUGUAACUGACGCUAAGGCGCGAAACCUUGGGGGAGCAAACAGGAUUAGAUACCCUGGUAGUCCACGCCGUAAACAAUGAGUGCUAGUUGUUGGGGGGUUUCAAUACCCCUCAGUGCCGGCACCUAACCGCAAUAAGCCACUCCGCCCUGGGGGAGUACGCCUCGCAAGGAUUGAAACUUCAAAGGAAUUGAACGGGGGCCCGCCACAAGCGGUGGAAGCAUGUGGUUUAAUUCGAAGCAACCGGAAAAAACCUUACCAGGUCUUGACAUCCCCGCU
RNAcentral lists this ribosomal RNA (960 nucleotides) under Brevibacillus nitrificans. RNAcentral's name for it is "bacterial SSU rRNA". It matches the Rfam family "Bacterial small subunit ribosomal RNA", at positions 56 to 994 of the family's 1533-position model. Lineage: Bacteria; Bacillati; Bacillota; Bacilli; Caryophanales; Paenibacillaceae. The record is from RNAcentral.